CGCCGGGAACUGCGCGGCAGCAGCACGGUGAACCCCGCCAGGGCCGGAAGGCAGCAACGGUAAGCCGACGCUCUGGGCGACGCACCAUUCCCGGCGCUU
This 99-nucleotide signal recognition particle RNA is filed under the name Armatimonadota bacterium. RNAcentral's name for it is "Armatimonadetes bacterium (activated sludge metagenome) signal recognition particle sRNA small type". It matches the Rfam family "Bacterial small signal recognition particle RNA". Rfam says of the family: The signal recognition particle (SRP) is a universally conserved ribonucleoprotein involved in the co-translational targeting of proteins to membranes. Archaeal SRP consists of a 7S RNA and homologues of the eukaryotic SRP19 and SRP54 proteins. The record is from RNAcentral. Lineage: Bacteria; Bacillati; Armatimonadota.